AUCAGUCUGAGGAACAAGAGAGAACUCAGCAGUGAUCAUCAGCAGAAAAUAAUCCAUCACAGCUCUGGGUUCCUACCACAACCUUACUGCUGCAGUUGAUUAACUGCUCCUUAUACAGGAGUCAUUCUGCCUAGUCUGUAGUUCAGAUCUCUCAAGUGAGGUGUUCUAAUCAAGCUGCUUUAAUUUUCUAUGACCUCUUUGAUGCCCCUCUCUGGAAUCAUGAAGACUGGGGAAUUGAUGCACAUGCAAGAAUUUCGGGGAAAGGCUGGAUGAUGAGGAGAAGCCUGGCGGAUAGAUCUUUAAGACAAACAUGACACUGACAACAAACAUUGUACGUUCAUUUAUCUUUAUGAAUAAACAAGAAAACCAAAAUCA
Molecule: long non-coding RNA, 375 nt
Organism: Ornithorhynchus anatinus (platypus)
Lineage: Eukaryota; Metazoa; Chordata; Mammalia; Monotremata; Ornithorhynchidae
Exons: 2
Source: RefSeq, a predicted model, not a curated record